GGCGGCGUGCUUAACACAUGCAAGUCGAACGCGAAAGUUUUCUUCGGAAGACGAGUAGAGUGGCGCACGGGUGAGCAACGCGUAAGUUAUCUACCUCGGCAUCUGGAAUAACUCACCGAAAGGUGUGCUAAUACCGGAUACGUUGAGUAAUCAAGAAAGGUGGCCUCUGAAUAUGCUACUGUGCUGAGAUGAGCUUGCGUACCAUUAGCUAGUUGGUAGGGUAAUGGCCUACCAAGGCGACGAUGGUUAGCGGGUCUGAGAGGAUGAUCCGCCACACUGGAACUGGAACACGGACCAGACUCCUACGGGAGGCAGCAGUGAGGAAUAUUGCGCAAUGGGGGCGACCCUGACGCAGCGACGCCGCGUGGAUGAUGAAGGCCUUCGGGUCGUAAAAUCCUGUCAAGUGGAAAGAAGUGCAUGGUGGAUAAUACCCAUCAUGUUUGACGGUACCACUGAAGGAAGCACCGGCUAACUCCGUGCCAGCAGCCGCGGUAAUACGGAGGGUGCAAGCGUUGUUCGGAAUUACUGGGCGUAAAGCGCGCGUAGGCGGUUUUAUAAGUCAGAUGUGAGAGCCCAGGGCUCAACCCUGGACGUGCAUUUGAAACUGUGAGACUUGAGUAUUGGAGGGGGUGGUGGAAUUCCCGGUGUAGAGGUGAAAUUCGUAGAUAUCGGGAGGAAUACCAGUGGCGAAGGCGACCACCUGGCCAAACACUGACGCUGAGGUGCGAAAGCGUGGGGAGCAAACAGGAUUAGAUACCCUGGUAGUCCACGCCAUAAACGAUGUCAACUAGGUGUUGGGACGGUUAAUCGUCUCAUUGCCGCAGCUAACGCAUUAAGUUGACCGCCUGGGGAGUACGGUUGCAAGAUUA
Molecule: ribosomal RNA, 869 nt
Filed under: uncultured bacterium
Lineage: Bacteria
Description: bacterial SSU rRNA
Rfam family: Bacterial small subunit ribosomal RNA
Source: RNAcentral